Molecule: transfer RNA, 83 nt
Filed under: Candidatus Vogelbacteria bacterium
Lineage: Bacteria; Candidatus Vogeliibacteriota
Description: tRNA-Leu
Rfam family: tRNA
About the family: Transfer RNA (tRNA) molecules are approximately 80 nucleotides in length. Their secondary structure includes four short double-helical elements and three loops (D, anti-codon, and T loops).
Source: RNAcentral
GCCGGAGUGGCGAAAUGGUAUACGCAAUAGACUCAAAAUCUAUCGAUCGCAAGGUCAUGUGGGUUCAAGUCCCACCUCCGGCA